Molecule: ribosomal RNA, 335 nt
Filed under: uncultured bacterium
Lineage: Bacteria
Description: bacterial SSU rRNA
Rfam family: Bacterial small subunit ribosomal RNA
Source: RNAcentral
GACGAACGCUGGCGGCGUGCUUAACACAUGCAAGUCGAACGGUGAACCGGGCUUCGGCCUGGGGAUCAGUGGCGAACGGGUGCGUAACACGUGGGCAACCUGCCCCAGACUCAGGGAUAACCCCGGGAAACCGGGGCGUAAUACCCGACUACUCCGAUCGAACCACAUGGCUCGAUCGGGAAAGCUCCGACGGUCUGGGAUGGCCCGCGGCCUAUCAGCUUGUUGGUGGGGUAACGGCCUACCAAGGCGACGACGGGUAGCUGGUCUGAGAGGACGACCAGCCACACUGGAACUGAGAUACGGUCCAGACUCCUACGGGAGGCAGCAGUGGGGAA